This 482-nucleotide ribosomal RNA is filed under the name uncultured bacterium. RNAcentral describes it as "partial 16S ribosomal RNA". It matches the Rfam family "Bacterial small subunit ribosomal RNA", at positions 28 to 523 of the family's 1533-position model. The record is from RNAcentral.
GAUGAACGCUGGCGGCGUGCUUAACACAUGCAAGUCGAACGGUGAAGCCAAGCUUGCUUGGUGGAUCAGUGGCGAACGGGUGAGUAACACGUGAGCAACCUGCCCUGGACUCUGGGAUAAGCGCUGGAAACGGCGUCUAAUACUGGAUAUGAGCCUUCAUCGCAUGGUGGGGGUUGGAAAGAUUUUUUGGUCUGGGAUGGGCUCGCGGCCUAUCAGCUUGUUGGUGAGGUAAUGGCUCACCAAGGCGUCGACGGGUAGCCGGCCUGAGAGGGUGACCGGCCACACUGGGACUGAGACACGGCCCAGACUCCUACGGGAGGCAGCAGUGGGGAAUAUUGCACAAUGGGCGAAAGCCUGAUGCAGCAACGCCGCGUGAGGGAUGACGGCCUUCGGGUUGUAAACCUCUUUUAGCAGGGAAGAAGCGAAAGUGACGGUACCUGCAGAAAAAGCGCCGGCUAACUACGUGCCAGCAGCCGCCGCAG